ACAAACUUGGUCAUUUAGAGGAAGUAAAAGUCGUAACAAGGUUUCCGUAGGUGAACCUGCGGAAGGAUCAUUAACAAAAUUGUCCUCUCAUGGAUAAUUUUUAUCCAUAUCCACCUUGUGUGAAUCACUGAAUUGUUUUGUUGGCAGGUUUAAGACUUCUCUAUUGAGGAGUUCUGUGGAUGUGUAAAUAUCCGGCUUGCCAAUUUUAUAUGUAUAAACGUGUCUAAAUAAUGUUGUCUGAAAUAAUUAAAUUUUAUAAUAAAUACAACUUUCAACAACGGAUCUCUUGGCUCUCGCAUCGAUGAAGAACGCAGC
This 315-nucleotide unclassified non-coding RNA is filed under the name uncultured fungus. Its description in RNAcentral is "partial contains small subunit ribosomal RNA, internal transcribed spacer 1, and 5.8S ribosomal RNA". The stretch from base 1 to 73 matches the Rfam family "Eukaryotic small subunit ribosomal RNA", at positions 1759 to 1831 of the family's 1831-position model. The record is from RNAcentral. Lineage: Eukaryota; Fungi.